RNAcentral lists this ribosomal RNA (253 nucleotides) under uncultured bacterium. RNAcentral describes it as "partial 16S ribosomal RNA". It matches the Rfam family "Bacterial small subunit ribosomal RNA", at positions 524 to 776 of the family's 1533-position model. The record is from RNAcentral.
UACGUAGGGUCCAAGCGUUAAUCGGAAUUACUGGGCGUAAAGCGCGCGCAGGCGGUUGUGUAAGCCAGAUGGGAAAUCCCCGGGCUUAACCUGGGAAUGGCAUUUGGGACUGCACGGCUAGAGUACGGCAGAGGAGACUAGAAUUCCUGGUGUAGCAGUGAAAUGCGUAGAUAUCAGGAGGAAUACCGAUGGCGAAGGCGGGAUCCUGGGCCAGUACUGACGCUGAGGAGCGAAAGCGUGGGGAGCAAACAGG